RNAcentral lists this ribosomal RNA (484 nucleotides) under uncultured bacterium. RNAcentral describes it as "partial 16S ribosomal RNA". It matches the Rfam family "Bacterial small subunit ribosomal RNA", at positions 29 to 507 of the family's 1533-position model. The record is from RNAcentral.
AGUGAACGCUGGCGGCAGGCCUAACACAUGCAAGUCGAGCGGCAGCGCGGGGGCAACCCUGGCGGCGAGCGGCGGACGGGUGAGGAAUUCGUCGGAAUCUGCCUUUUUGUGGGGGAUAACGUAGGGAAACUUACGCUAAUACCGCAUACGUCCUACGGGAGAAAGUGGGGGACCGCAAGGCCUCACGCAGAAAGAUGAGCCGACGACCGAUUAGCUAGUUGGUGGGGUAAAGGCCCACCAAGGCGACGAUCGGUAGCUGGUCUGAGAGGAUGAUCAGCCACACUGGGACGGAGACACGGCCCAGACUCCUACGGGAGGCAGCAGUGGGGAAUAUUGGACAAUGGGCGCAAGCCUGAUCCAGCCAUGCCGCGUGUGUGAAGAAGGCCUUCGGGUUGUAAAGCACUUUUGUCCGGAAAGAAAUCCCUGGAGCUAAUACCUUCGGGGGAUGACGGUACCGGAAGAAUAAGCACCGGCUAACUUCGUG